UGGUGGUAUUAAUAUAUCAUAUAUGUUUCAGGACAGGGAGAGAGUAAGAGACUAACACUGACAACUGAUGCUGAAAAGCUUAGUGUGAAGAAACUUAUAGAAGAAGAAAUGAUCACUGACUAAGAUGAAAUAAAGGAUCAAGGUAACGUGGAAGUGGAAUCAAAGGAAUCCAGGUUUGUGAAUUAGAUGAGAUUNAAUGGGAAAGAUCUGCAUGAAGAUGGUCAAUUCCUUAGCUCACGUGAACUAAUGGAAUAACUCACUUUAUUUUUUUUAAUUCUA
RNAcentral lists this long non-coding RNA (279 nucleotides) under Vigna radiata. RNAcentral describes it as "long non-coding RNA (VRAD_LNC015260)". Lineage: Eukaryota; Viridiplantae; Streptophyta; Magnoliopsida; Fabales; Fabaceae. The record is from RNAcentral.